This 251-nucleotide ribosomal RNA is filed under the name uncultured bacterium. RNAcentral's name for it is "partial 16S ribosomal RNA". It matches the Rfam family "Bacterial small subunit ribosomal RNA", at positions 100 to 353 of the family's 1533-position model. The record is from RNAcentral.
GACGGGUGAGUAAUGUCUGGGAAACUGCCUGAUGGAGGGGGAUAACUACUGGAAACGGUAGCUAAUACCGCAUAACGUCGCAAGACCAAAGAGGGGGACCUUCGGGCCUCUUGCCAUCAGAUGUGCCCAGAUGGGAUUAGCUAGUAGGUGGGGUAACGGCUCACCUAGGCGACGAUCCCUAGCUGGUCUGAGAGGAUGACCAGCCACACUGGAACUGAGACACGGUCCAGACUCCUACGGGAGGCAGCAUG